CCGUAGAAAAGGAUGGCGUAGCUGAUGAAGUUCGCCAUCGUGACGGCGCGAAACAGCAAAUAACGACGCCGGGGGAGGAGCGAACGGAGCAUGCCGUACUCCACGGCAAGUGUGAUAAUG
This 120-nucleotide unclassified non-coding RNA is filed under the name fungal sp. RNAcentral describes it as "partial internal transcribed spacer region". The record is from RNAcentral. Lineage: Eukaryota; Fungi.